UGGUCUCUUUGAUGGGGAGAGUUGUUUGUCUAGGGGAUUAACCCAUGGGAACAGAGUGGGGAGGGGGCCUGUGGUCAGGCCGUUGUGGUUCACCUGGUUUCCCUAGAUAUUAGGAAGCACACGAUACUGGGCCUUUAUUGUAGGCCUUGCACCGCAUGAGCAAAUGGAAAUAUGGCAAGUUUCAGAAAAGAAAGAAAAGGGCCGAAAAGUACAUUAGCCAAAAUAGGAAGCACCCUGGAUGGACUGAAUACAAGGUAAAGAUGACAGAAGAAAGAGGGCAUGAACCUGAAGAUGGCUCAGUAGGAAGUAUUUCGUCUGAGUGUCAGAGAAACGAAAAAGCCUUGUCUGUACGAACUGAACCUCAGGAACCUCUAGGAUAGUACUGAAGUGUUUAACACUUGUGUCACAAGGAGUCUGAAAGGAAGGGAGAAACUGUGGUUCAGAAGAAAAAUGUUUAAAGAAAUAAUGGCUGAAGACUUCGCAAAUUUGCUGAGACAUAAACAAGGAUUUAAGAAGUGCCUGAACCCACUCAAGAUAAGCCGCAAGAGAUCCCUGACCAGACACAUUCAUAAGCCACUUAAAACCACCGACCAAAAACCAACUGACCCACAAAAAAUACCCUGGAAAGUCAGAGGAAGAUGACACAUCAUUUAUAGGGAACCAGUGAUUUGAAUGAACUAGAUUUCUCAUCAGAACAAUGCAGUCCACAAGUCAGUGGAACAGCAUCACUGAAGUGCUGAAAGGAAGGAAUUGUCAACCCAGAAUUCUGUGUUUGGAGAAAAUGCCCUUUAAGAAUGAAGGUGAGGGUGCCUGGGUGGCUCAGUCAGUUAAGCAUCUGACUCUUGAUUUCGGCUCAGGUCAUGAUCCCACAGAUUGGUGAGUUUGAGGCCCACAUCGGGCUCUGUGCUGGCAACGCGGAGCCUGCCUGUGGUUCUCUUUCCCUCUCUCUCUGCCCCUCCCCCACACUGUAUCUUUCUCUCUCUCUCUCUGUCUCUCAAUACAUAAAUAAACAGUAAAAAAAAGAAAACUGGGGUGCCUAAGCGGCUCAGUCAGUUGAGCGUCGGACUUCGGCUCAGAUCAUGAUCUCACACUUCGUGGGUUCGAGCCCGGCGUCGGGCUCUGUGCUGACAGCUCGGAGCCUGGAGCCUGCUUCAGAUUCCGUGUCUCCCUCUCUCUCCGCCCCUCCCCCACUUGUGUUCUGUCUCUCUCUCUCUCUCUCUCUCUUUCAAGAAUAAACAUUAAAAAAAUUUUUUUUUAAAUACAAAAAAAACCUGAAUUUGCUUUUCACCAAACACUCAUCCUGGUGACUAGUUUUUGAAGCUGUAAUGCCCGUAAAGUGGAAUAGAAGGUGUGGAGCAUUCAGGCACCCUCCGUGCAUGUCUCUGAGCAGGCGGUAGAGUCCGAUUAUAUUCGUUUCACUUACACCCACUUUUAUCCACCCAGCAGCGGUGCUCAUGGUUGAAUGGCUGAUGAGCAGCUGUCCCUGCCUGUAGGCAGAGUCGUAGUUCAAGGGAGAAGCCCUGGGCUGAGCGUCUUUGGGCUCGAACCCCACCUCCCUCACUGCAUCGUGUUUCGUUAGGCACGUUUCUUUUUCAACGUCGUUUCUCAGUUUCUUCUGUUGUGGAAUGAAGGUGAUGACGUCUGUACCGCACGGCCGCGGAGAGAACAGCAGCUCUACGUUACAAUCGGUGUACGAUAUACUGCAUGGGUUUUUAGCAAGAAAACUUGGCAAGCUUUGACGUGUGGACACCCAUGGAACCAUAACCAGCCAGGAUGAUGAAUACAUCUAUAGCUCUGUCACCCCCUAAAGUUUCUUCGCGCAGCCACUGAACCACUGUCUGUCACUACAGGACAGGUACUGUAUAUCUUCCCUUAGGACAGUCUACCAUCCCAUGAAUAAAACAUCUCAUACACAAGAAUGCAGUAGUAAGUACUUGUAUUGUUUUCCUCUGCUCUUUGUGCCUUCGUUGUUAUGCACUUAAACUUUUACAUAUGCUUUCACCCCACGCUUCAUGAUUAAUUUUGUUAAAAAAAAAUCAAUUAUUCUUAAAAGAUUUAAGUCAUCAGGAAAAUGUCACGUAUUUACUCCUGUGGUUGUUUCCUCUCCCGAUUCUUCCUUUGUGUAGACACAUACUUGAAUUUAUUACCAAUAUCCAUCUUCCCGUAACAGUUCUGUGUGCAUGGCAGCAGCUGCUGCUGGGCUCCUUCGGCUUUGGGAGAUCUAGAAAAGUCUUUCGCUCUGUAUUUGGAAAUGUUUUUGCUGGGUGCAGAGCUCCAGGUUGGUAAUAUUUUUAUCUCUCCUUAUGUGAGCGAUGUCGCAACACCACCGUCUUAGCUGAAGUUGUUUCCUUGACGGGAAUCUGCCGUCAUCCUUUUCUUUGUUCUUUUGAAACAGUGUGUUUCUUUGCUAGACCUGCCUUAUGAUUUUUCUCCUUAUCCCUGGUUGUGGGCGACUUGAAUUAUGGCGUGCCUUCGAAUAGUUUUCGUCAUGGUCCUUUUGCUCGGCCUCAAACUCCUCGACCCUCUCCCCCUUUUAGGUGGGUCUUUCCCGAGUUUCUUCACACGUGUAGUGCUCAGUACUCUGGUGAACACUCAGGAGGGACCCCCUCCAGAUUUCUGGAGUCUGCCCCCCAUCCUGCACACUAGUUACCUGUGUCCCCCUGGACUCACGGCUCCUCUUUAACUGAGAGGGCGCUGGGCUGGCUUGGGGUCCACCUCUCUGCUCUGUGUCCUGGCAGCUCUUUCUGGACCAUACGCUUGUGCAGGAGUCGGGCUCACCUUGCUUGGUCUUGAGUCAUCACUGUCCCAUGUUGCCUCAUGUCCAGCGUCACCAAUACUGAGUUUCGGGUGUAUCAGGCAGAAGGUAAAUCCAGUCUCUGCUACCUUAUGGCUGGAAGUGGAAGAGCCAUGAUGUCGUGAAUGAAUACGUAAGCAUGCGUCCACUCAUGUAUUACUUAUUAUUUAUCUAAUCUUUUACCGAUUAGAUAAAUAAUACUAGUUUCAGGGAUACAACGUAAUGAUUCUUUGUAUGUAUAUGUUGUAAAAUGGUCACCACAGUACGUAUAGUUAGCAUCUGCCACCACACAGUCACAAAAUGUUUUUUCUUCUGGCGGGAGCUUUUAUGAUUUACUCGUAGCAACUUUUAAGUGGUCAACACAGUAUUAUUAACUGCAGUCACCAUAAAGUUCGUUAUAUCCUCAGGGUUUAUUCAUUUUGUAGUUGGGAGUUUGUACCUUUGACCGUCUCCGCCCUUUACUCCCAGUCCCCACCCUCACUUCUGGCAACCACCAGUCUGUUUUCUGUAUUUAUGAUUUUGUGGUUUUUUCCUUUUUUCAAGUUUCUUCAUAUAAGUGAGAUCAUCCGCUGUUUGUCUUCCUUGGUCUGACAUGUUUUACCUAGCAUAGUGCCCUCGGGGUCCGUCCGCGUUGUGGCAGAUGGCAGGAUCUCCUCCUGUUUAUGGUUGCAGAAUAUUCCACCCAGAGCUUCAUUAUCCAUUCAUCCCUCAGUGGACGCGUAGGUUGCUGGCUUGUCUUGGCUGCUAUAGUUAACGCUGCAGUGGACGUGAGCGUGUGUGUUUCUUCUCGAGACGGUGUUUUCAUUUCCUGCGGAGAAGUGCCCAGAGUAGAGUUGCUGGGCCGCAGGUAGUUCUGUUUUGACGCUCCUGAGAAACCUCUGUUGUGUUUUCCACGGUGGCUGGACCACGUCACAUUCCCACCAGCCGUGCACCAGGCUCCCUCGUCCCCACUCCCCCGCCGGCACUUGUCAUGUCCCGUCCUGGUGACACUAGCCGUUCUGACCGGUGUGUUGUGACACCUCAUUGUGGCUUUCGUUUGCAGUCCCCUCAUGACGAGUGAUGUUGCGUGUGUGACCUUUGUGUGACCUGUUGGCCAUCUGUCUGUCUUGCUUGCAAAAAUGUCUCUUCAGAACCUCGGUUCAUUUUGUAAUCUGUUCUUUUGGUGUUGAGUUGGGUGAAUUCUGUAUAUAUUUUGGGCUAUUAGUCCCUUAUCAGUUCCAUGAUUUUCAAAUAUUUUCUUCUAUUCUGUAGGUUGUCUUUUCAUUUUGUUGAUGGUUUCCUUUGCCAUGCAGAAGAUUUAGUGUUUUACUUUUUAUCUUUUGAGAAGAGAGCAUGCGCGGAUGCUAGGUGGGGAGAGAGGUAGAGGGAGAGAGAGGGAGAGAAUCUCGAGCAGGCUGCACAAUCCUCUGACGCGGGGCUCGAUCCCAUGACUGUGAGGCCAUGACCUGAGCUGAAAUUAAUUUGCUUGAUCCACAGAGCCACCCAGGCGCCCCCGAAGAUUUAGUUUGAUGUAGUUAUGCUGUUUAGCGUUGCUGUUGUUAACUUUGCUUUUCGUGUCAAAUCCAAAAGUCACCGUGGAGACCAUUGUGAAGAAGCUUUACAGCCUGUGUUUUUCCUUCAAAAGAUUUAUGUUUAUAGAUAUUCUCUUCACGUCUUUAAUCCAUUUUGUCUCGAUUGCGUGUAUGGUGUAAGAAACCGGUAUAUUCUUUUGCAUACGGGUGGUCAGUUUUCCCAGCACCGUUCGUUGUGAAGAGACCGUGCUUUCCCCAUUGCAUAUUCUUGGCUCCUUUGUCAGAUUAAUCGGCCGUAUAUGCAUAGGUUUAUUUCUGGGCUUUCUGUUCUGUUCUGUUGCUAUAUAGGUCUUUUUGUGCCCAAACCAUACUGUUUUGAUUACUAAAGCUUUGUAAGAAAAUGUGGAAUCAGGAAACGUGAUGCUUCCAGCUUGGUUCUUCUUUCCCAGCAUUGCUUGGGCUAUUUGGGGUCUUUAGUGGUUUCGUCAAAUUUUGCGAGUCUUUGUACUACUUCUGUGAAAAAUGCCCUUGGAAUUUUGACAGGGAUUACAUUGGAUCUGUAGAUUCCUUUGGGUAACAUGGCCAUCUUCACAGUGUUGUUGCUUUGAGUCCAUGAGCAGGAGUAUCUUUGUAUCUGUUCUGUGUCUUCAGUCCCUUUUACUCAUGUCAGAUACUUUUUAGUGGACGGGUCUUUCACCUCUUUGGUCAGAUUUAUUCCAAGCAUUUUAUUCUUUUGGAUCCAAUUAUAAAUGGAUCGUUUUCUUAAUUUCUCUUUCUGAUAGUUGUUGUGCGGAAAUGCAGCUGAUUUUUGUACAUUGCUUUUAUAUCCUGCAACUUCCCUGAAUUCAUUUAUUAGUUCUAACAUUUCUACGGUGGAUUACUUACGAUAUUUCAUAUGCAAUAGAUCAUGUGUAAAUAGUGACAGUUUUAUUAGUUCUUUUUUUCUUUGUUUUCUUUCUUCUAGAUUUGGAUGCAUUUUAGCUUUCUCCCUUUAAUUGCUCCAGUUAGGACUUCCAGUACCGUAUAGCAAGAGGUGACGUGUUGCUGAACGAGGCAAAUGUUGUCUUGUUUCUGAACGUAAAGGGAAAAUUUUCAGUGUUCCACCAUUGAGUAUGGUGUAUCUGUGUAUAUGACCUUUCUUAAGUCAUGUUUCCUUUAUACCCACUUUGUUUAGAGUUUUUAUCUUGAACGAAGGUUGACUUUUGUGAUGUGCUUUUUCUGCAUCUGCUGUGUGGUUUUUAUCCUUCAUUUUGUUAAUGUGGUGUGUCAUAUAGUUUUGUGGCUGUUGAACCGUUCUUGUGUCCCUAGAAUGCAGCCCACUUGAUCUUGGUGAACGUCCUUUUAAUGUGUUGUUGGAUUUGGUUUGGGUAUGUUUUGUUGAAGAUUUUUGCAUCUGUGUUCAUCAGGGGUCCUGGCCUGCAGUUUGUUUUCUUUGUGAUGUCCUUGUCUGAUUUUGUUAUCAGGAUGAUGCUGGCCUCAUCGAGUGAAGUUGGAAGUGUUCCUUUCUCUUUUAUUUUUUGGAAGAGUUUGGGAAGGAUUGGUAUUUUUUUAAAGUUCUCGUGUAAAUUCAAGUUACUUAACCUACAUAAUAUUCGUUUUAGUUUUAGGUGCACAAAAUAGUUAUCACCACUUUCAUGCAUCACCCAGGGCUGAUCACACGUGCCCUCCUUAAUCCCCUCCCCCAGCCACCUCCUCUCUGAUGACCAUAAGUUUCUUCUCUAGAGUUAAGAGUUCUCUUUCUUGGUUUGCCUGGGAAGGAUUGGUAUUAAUGCUUCUUUAAAGGUUUGCUAGAAUUCACCAGUGAAGUCAAAUAGUCCUGGAUCUUUGUUUGUUUGUCUGUUAUUGAUGACUCAUUCAGUGUCCUUACUAGUAAUUAGUCUGUUCAGAUUUUCUGUUUCUUUAUUGGUUCAGUCUUGCCGGGUUGUAUGUUUCCAGAAAUGUAUCCAUUUCUUCCGGGUUGUGCAGUUUGUUGACUCAUAAUUUUUGGUAGUAGUGUCAUGAUGUUUGUAUUUCUGUGGCAUCUGUUAUAUCAUCUUCGCUUUCAUUUCUGAUGUCAUUUGUUUGAGCCUUCUCUUUCAUUUCUUGUGGGUCUCACCAAAGGUUUAUUUUCAUAAAACCAGCUCUCAGUUGCAUUGAUCUUUUCUAUUGUCUUUUUAAUUUUAGUCUCUAUUUCACUUAUUUUGACUCUGAUCUUUGUUAUUUCCUUCUUCUAACUUAGGGCUUUGUUUGUUCUCUUGGUCCUUAAGAUUAGAUUGUUUAUUUGGCAUUUUACAUGUUUCUUGAGGUACAUUUAUUGCUAUAAACUUUUCUCUUGUAACGGAUUUUGCUGCAUCCCGUAGGUUUUGGUAUUUUUGUAUUUCUGUUUUC
This is a long non-coding RNA of Panthera uncia (snow leopard), 6672 nucleotides long. RefSeq lists it as uncharacterized. The transcript is spliced from 3 exons. Lineage: Eukaryota; Metazoa; Chordata; Mammalia; Carnivora; Felidae. The record is from RefSeq and is a predicted model, not a curated record.